Molecule: long non-coding RNA, 552 nt
Filed under: Cyanistes caeruleus (blue tit)
Lineage: Eukaryota; Metazoa; Chordata; Aves; Passeriformes; Paridae
Description: lncRNA (ENSCCEG00000009449.1)
Source: RNAcentral
CUUAAGGCGGAAUAAUUUCCUGAAAGAGAUUUGUUCCUGCAGCUUCCAGGAUCUGAGGCACGUCUGGGCGUCAUCACUCCGGCCUGAAUCAGACCUGUCUGAGCAUUCACCCUCCUGUCACAGAAGAAGCAAAGGACACAGCAAGGCUCAGAGUGAGCGGCUCCAGGUGUCAACCGAGCAAAGUCAGGAUCAGCUGCAGUUAUUCCAGAGUACACAUCCACAUGCAGAAUAUUCCAGAGCAGGUAUUUCUCUUUAAAUUCAUGCCCCAUCUUAUUCCAGAAUAUUUCCCUGUGUAGAGAAGCACUUGGCUGGGGUCUCUGCUUGCUGCUGUACUAGUGAUAAGAUGGAUUGGCUGAUCUAAUAGGUCUUUUCAAUCUCUGAUUUUGAAAGCUAAGAUUGGGAAAUUAAUUUCAGAAAGGUCAAAACAGAGCAAGGCUAUCCUGCUGCUGUGUGAUGGAUCCUAUUUUUUUUUUUAAAUCUGCCUAUUGAGGGAGAGGUUAGUUAUUCAGCAUCCUGCAAAAGAAAGAAAUAAAUAAAGCGGGCCGAGGAACA